CUGACUCCUCCUGAGCCCCAGACAGCCCAUGAACUGCCUUGCUGGGAAUGGUAGGACGGGGUGGACUCUGGAUUGCUCCCUCUGGAUGUGUGGCUCUCCCCUCAGGAACUCCAGGAACUCCUGGUGCCGCCUGGGCCGAUGGAUUGGACACCCCAGCCCCUCCGUUCCUGCCCAGCCACUGGGUCCGUGUCCAGUGGUGGCACUGCCAGCCCUGCAGUGGGAUGUAGCCUGGAAAGUGCAGAGAGCUGAGCCAAGGGAUUGAAAGGGACCAAGCAAGGGAGGUGAAGAAAGAAGGAAGAAGGGAAGUGAGGCAUGAGCCAAGCAGCAGCAAGUUGCUGUGUAAGCAGGUGAGUUGUGUUGAGGUUCCUCAGGCAGGCACUGAGGACUUUGAGGGCUCCAGACAGAGCAGACCUGGGAAGGCCCUCGGUGAAGCCCCUUGGAAACCUUGUAAGGGUAGGUGUGUAUGGUAAUAAGUGUUGGAGAAUGUCCUGAAUAUUGAACAGGAAUGCAGGGAAGGAAAAUGAAUCCUUCUGUAAUCCUGACCCCUCCCAUCAUCUGCAGUGGAGAUAGCUCUGUGUGCCCUUUGGGAACUGAUUGCCAGGACACCUGGUGGGCUGGAAUGAUUCAAGAGCAUAGGAAUACAAGAUUGCCUGGCUUCUGAA
Molecule: long non-coding RNA, 662 nt
Organism: Pseudopipra pipra
Lineage: Eukaryota; Metazoa; Chordata; Aves; Passeriformes; Pipridae
Exons: 3
Source: RefSeq, a predicted model, not a curated record